CAAUAGCGUAUAUUUAAGUUGUUGCAGUUAAAAAGCUCGUAGUUGGAUUUCGGGUGGGACGCAGCGGUCUCGCAUUGCGUUUGUACUGCUGCAGCCCUCCUUCUUGCCGGGGGCGGCCUCUCGGACUUCACUGUCUGGGGGUCAGAAUCGGCGAUGUUACUUUGAGUAAAUUAGAGUGUUCAAAGCAAGCUUACGCUCUGAAUAUAAUAGCAUGGGAUAACACGACAGGACUCUGGCCUAUCGUGUUGGUCUAUAGGACCAGAGUAAUGAUUAAGAGUGACAGUCGGGGGCAUUCGUAUUCCGUUGUCAGAGGUGAAAUUCUUGGAUUUACGGAAGACGAACAUCUGCGAAAGCAUUUGCCAAGGAUGUUUUCAUUGA
This 378-nucleotide ribosomal RNA is filed under the name uncultured eukaryote. Its description in RNAcentral is "partial 18S ribosomal RNA". It matches the Rfam family "Eukaryotic small subunit ribosomal RNA", at positions 592 to 976 of the family's 1831-position model. The record is from RNAcentral.